GGGGCCGAUUAGGAUUCGACGGAAUUCAAGAAGCCUGAGGUGCAUGUCGAGGACGCGGUUGGCCUCGUAAAAAAGCCGCAAUUAAAGUAAUCGCAAACGACGAUAACUACGCUCUAGCGGCAUAAUAGCCCGCUAGCACUCACCCAAGCUCUCUUGUGGGCCUGGAUUCUGAGUGUCACCCUACACAAGAUCGCCACGGAAACCCUGGCCGGGGUUGAAGGGUUAAACAUAAGCGGCCUCGCCUUCACUAAUCGUGUCUGUCCGAGUAUUGAAGGUUAACUUAUAGACAAGACUAAGCAUGUAGGACCGAGGGUCGAGGCUUUUCGGACGGGGGUUCAAAUCCCCCCGGCUCCACCA
Molecule: non-coding RNA, 357 nt
Organism: Pseudoalteromonas luteoviolacea B = ATCC 29581
Lineage: Bacteria; Pseudomonadati; Pseudomonadota; Gammaproteobacteria; Alteromonadales; Pseudoalteromonadaceae
Source: Rfam